AGACAAUUAAUUAUAUAUUAUUUAUGGUAUUUUGUUGAUGGGACAAUAUAUUUAUUAUAGAAAAAGAUAGAAAAAAUAAGGCUUCAAGUCUAGGUAUGCCGGAUAUGCCGGGCAUACCCGUACAAUAUAAUAUAAAUAUUAUACACAUCUGUAUUUAUAUAAAAAAGAAAAAAUAUUCACUCGAUCACGUAUCACACAAGUGGCA
Molecule: long non-coding RNA, 205 nt
Filed under: Sorghum bicolor (sorghum)
Lineage: Eukaryota; Viridiplantae; Streptophyta; Magnoliopsida; Poales; Poaceae
Description: long non-coding RNA (SBIC_LNC001892)
Source: RNAcentral